AGAGUUUGAUCCUGGCUCAGGAUGAACGCUGGCGGCGUGCUUAACACAUGCAAGUCGAACGAACCUUCGGGUUAGUGGCGGACGGGUGAGUAACGCGUGAGAAUCUGCCCUCAGGAGGGGGAUAACAGUUGAAAACGACUGCUAAUACCCCAUAUGCCGAGAGGUGAAACGAAUUUUGCCUGGGGAUGAGCUCGCGUCUGAUUAGCUUGUUGGUGGGGUAAUGGCUUACCAAGGCUUCGAUCAGUAGCUGGUCUGAGAGGACGAUCAGCCACACUGGGACUGAGACACGGCCCAGACUCCUACGGGAGGCAGCAGUGGGGAAUUUUCCGCAAUGGGCGCAAGCCUGACGGAGCAACGCCGCGUGAGGAAUGGAGGCCUUUGGGCUGUAAACCUCUUUUCUCAAGGAAGAACAUCUGACGGUACUUGAGGAAUAAGCCACGGCUAAUUCCGUGCCAGCAGCCGCGGUAAUACGGGAGUGGCAAGCGUUAUCCGGAAUUAUUGGGCGUAAAGCGUCCGCAGGCGGCCGUUUAAGUCUGUUGUUAAAUCGUGGGAGCUCAACUCCAUCAUGGGCAUUGGGAAACUGUCCGGGCUUGAGUUAUGGUAGGGG
RNAcentral lists this ribosomal RNA (607 nucleotides) under uncultured cyanobacterium. RNAcentral describes it as "SSU rRNA". It matches the Rfam family "Bacterial small subunit ribosomal RNA", at positions 8 to 658 of the family's 1533-position model. The record is from RNAcentral. Lineage: Bacteria; Bacillati; Cyanobacteriota.